Molecule: non-coding RNA, 962 nt
Organism: Aegilops tauschii subsp. strangulata
Lineage: Eukaryota; Viridiplantae; Streptophyta; Magnoliopsida; Poales; Poaceae
Source: RefSeq, a predicted model, not a curated record
CAGUUUUAUACCAGUGUGACCUGAUAUGCUUCUUUUGUUGUUUUGCAGCUUGAUGAUUGGUGGCAAUUCUCACCUCUGAAUCCUCGUCUGCGGCCUUCUGAAGAGUCGAAACAACAAACGGUCAGAGUAGCUCCUCGAUUUGGGGGUGCAGGUCUGUCAGCCGAGCCUGCUUUUGUGUGAAUGGAAAGUAAACGGAUUGAUCAGCGCCAGGGGCGGCGAUGUUGAACUUGGGAUCGAAGACGUUGACGCCUGUGGCGUAGCGACACAGCCCUGGCAUUGUGAAGGCGUAGUGGCUCUCAUACUGGCCAGGUGCUAGCGAUGAUGAAGUCGCUAGUGUUCAUGGCGAUCAUGUCGGCAGUGAACUGGCAGGAGAAAUGGUACUUGUGAUCCAUUUCUCUCCACUUGACAUCCGAAUCGUCGUACUUUGUCUUCUCAAGAGCAUGUGCAAUUGUUCCCUGUUGGUUUUGAUGUCAGAUUUGUUUGGUGACAGAGGAACAACAUUUUUCAGGAUUUCAUCUCGAUAGCUCAUUUUCACCUGGGUGACCCCGAGUUUGCUCGACAAGAGGGAUGCUACUAGAUUGCCAUCGGUGUAAUUGCCGAUGACCAUGUCUGGCUUCCCCUCAAGUAUGUCAAGAAUCUUGACAGAAGAAUCCUGAAACCACCAUGAUAAAGGUAAGGGUAAAUGUCAAACCGGGAGACCCACUGGCGAAGAUCUUUCCCAUCAUCAGUCUUGAAUGGCACGCGGAGGAUGCUCGAGUGCUUCGUGUGCUCGACCGGUUCAAGCUCAACGUUGCACUUGGUUCCCUUUGCGUCCGGUAUGAGUCUUGUUAACUGCAAGAUGUUCGAGCAGCUGUCAAAAGCUUCCUCCUUGCAGCGUGAGGUCAUGGUAGUUUAAUGAAGGCGAUCGAAGCUUACCACAAGAAUCUUCGGGGUAACAUUCAGGCCCUGCCGCUUGAUUCUUU